AUAGAACUCACGGGACCAAUCUCACAGGACAGAAUUAUUCAGAUCCUGGUAGGUACUAACCAGUAAGCGAAACUUGAAAUUCCGCAUCUUUUUUUUCCCCACAAUUUCGCCAAAGAAUCUGCAAUCAAUCAAUCGCCAAGCGAGAAAAUCUGUACAAUUAUCGUAAUUAUACACUCGAUCAAUCCAAUUUCUAUCGUAUAAAAAAAAUGCCUUACUGGAGAGUCAUGGAGGUGGAGCCACCAAGUCCGUUAAGAUACCUAAUCGGCGCAGCAUUAAUGAUGAUUGGAGUGGUGUUACCCGUUGGUUACAUGAUGUUUCGUAACAAGCGGGGUCCUUCUUCUUCCUCUUACUCCAAACAGACGUAGGGCAAAGUUUUGAUAGAGUGGUAGUGAUUGAAAGAGAGAGGGAGAUCUGGUGCUGGAUGAGUUGAAGAGUUUGAAGAAGAUGCAAGAAAAAGAUGAGCAUGGGUUAUGCCAGUGAUUGGUGAGUUACCUGAUGGUUGGAUUUACUGGAUUAGCAUGGAAUAAUAAACUUUGUUCUGCUGGUUCAUGCUCUCUGUAUCAGUCUGAGCUAUGAAACGACCUGUUAGAAUGACAAAAUUUGCUGUUUUCGAGUGGGAAUGUAGAAAAGAGCGGAAAAUAUAUAUGGUUGAAAUGUGUUGCCUAUUUGCUAGGAGCUACCGUGGAAACAGCUACCAUUUGGAAUUGAAAUGCUUGGUGGUGAAGACAAUGCAGGAUGCACAAGGAUCAGAAACGUCUUAGAUUCUUACAGAAUGAUUUUUCAUGGCUCAGUCUCACAGAUGUGUUGUGGUUCCACUCAGAGAAAAAGCAUAAUACAUGAGGGUGAUGAGAUCAAAGUGGUGUUAACAAGAUUGAUCAGAGCCGAUAAUCUUUGCUGCUCUACCCUCAUGAAUGGAGGCUUCUUAUGCAUUUACUCAGUGUUAUCAUCUAUAGAAACCAUCUAUCUCCUCUCAGGAACAAGCUGCCAGGAUGUUGAUUUUUUUUUUCCAGAUUUCCAUGAUGUUGGUAUGGUUCUAACUUCUAAGAUCUGGUACAAUAUAUUUGAGAACUUGACUCGGGAGUGGAUCAAUUUUAUGGAACUCCGACUAUGUGUUUAUACUCCA
Populus trichocarpa (black cottonwood) is the source of this 1123-nucleotide RNA transcript. RefSeq lists it as uncharacterized. The transcript is spliced from 4 exons. The record is from RefSeq and is a predicted model, not a curated record. NCBI's taxonomy places the organism in Eukaryota, Viridiplantae, Streptophyta, Magnoliopsida, Malpighiales, Salicaceae.